Molecule: long non-coding RNA, 1163 nt
Organism: Vicia villosa (hairy vetch)
Lineage: Eukaryota; Viridiplantae; Streptophyta; Magnoliopsida; Fabales; Fabaceae
Exons: 4
Source: RefSeq, a predicted model, not a curated record
UAAUCUCAAUUAACUAAUCAGAUUUUGUUGUUAACAAACUCAAUUAAUAGCAAUUAAUUACGUUAAAUCAAUGUUAAUGAAAAAAAGUGAAAAUUUAAAGGAGAUUAGGUUUGAAGUGAACCUUCACGUUUGAAAUUCAACUUCUUCCUCUUCUCUCAAACGAAGAACGGCAGCGAUAUCUCAAACCUCCGGUGAACACAGUGCUCCGUCCGCCUCUAUGAUUCCGUCUUCUCGAUCUCCGAUCUCUCCGUCUUUUCCGAUUCAAUCUUUCCCUGGCUUUUCUCGAUUCAAGCUCCCUCUCAAUUCAAGCUUCAAUUCGUCUCCGAUUUGACUCAACUCUUUCCGCCACAAUCUCAGCUUCAACUCCGAUUUGAUUUACCGGAGAAUGUCUAGCGUCUCUUCCACGGUGCCGAUGAGAAGGAAUCCAACAUUAAAGCCAGAUUGCGUAAUGUUGUUGCAGGUGAAGCAAGAUUGUUAAUGAUGGAGUAGGAGAGUUUACGAUUGAAACGUUGAAGAUGAUGAUGAAAGCAAGGACGAAUCUGAGAUCGAGAUUGUGAAGGAUUUAUGGAAAGUGAAGAUUGAAGGUUAUAUCAAAGGAGCUUGUUAUCGGUUUUCUCAGAGCGUGAGUUGAAGAUUAUGGUGAAUAUGAAGAUUUGUCCGAAUCUGAAAAUUGAGGUGUUGGAAAAUUCAUGAUUGAAUCGAGAGAGAGGAUUGAAAGAUUCAGAGCUUGAAGAAGAUUGAACCUCGUUCUGAGUUUUUUCGAAUUCUGUUUUCGGUUAUGAGGUGAGUUCUCUUCUGAUCUUUUUCUGUUAUGAGAUUCCUUUUUUCUGUUACGUUUUUCUACUCUGAUUUUUCUCGGUGAUGAUUGAAUGAACUGUGGAAGACUCAAUGGAGAUGAUGUUGGAGGUUCUUGGAGAAUUGAAGGAGAAGGUUUAAAGAUUGAUUGGAGCUGCAGGGUUGGUUGAAUGUUCAAAAAUAUGGAAUCGUUCAUUGGCUUUCUGAUGCAGGCUGCUGCAAGUUUUUUUUUCAACAUCAAUUGGGCUUUUCUUUUGUAAUUCAAUUUAAUUGGUAAUGGAUGGACUUGAAUAUUGGAUCAUGGAUGUAUAGAUUUUGUGUGAAUGGACUGUAUUGAAUGGUAUUGUAAUUUUAUGUGGAUUUUUGAA